Molecule: small RNA, 801 nt
Filed under: uncultured Gemmatimonas sp.
Lineage: Bacteria; Pseudomonadati; Gemmatimonadota; Gemmatimonadia; Gemmatimonadales; Gemmatimonadaceae
Description: bacterial SSU rRNA
Rfam family: Bacterial small subunit ribosomal RNA (bases 1-473)
Source: RNAcentral
GUCGUGAGAUGUUGGGUUAAGUCCCGCAACGAGCGCAACCCUCGUCCCUAGUUACCAGCGGGUCAUGCCGGGCACUCUAGGGAGACUGCCGGUGUCAAACCGGAGGAAGGUGGGGAUGACGUCAAGUCAUCAUGGCCCUUACGUCCAGGGCGACACACGUGCUACAAUGGCCGGUACAGAGCGUCGCCAACCCGCGAGGGUGCGCCAAUCGCCAAAAGCCGGUCUAAGUUCGGAUUGCAGUCUGCAACUCGACUGCAUGAAGCCGGAAUCGCUAGUAAUCGUGGAUCAGCCACGCCACGGUGAAUACGUUCCCGGGCCUUGUACACACCGCCCGUCACGCCAUGGAAGCUGGGGGGACCUGAAGCCGGUGGGCUAACUCGCAAGAGAGGCAGCCGUCAAAGGUCAAUUCAGUGACUGGGGCGAAGUCGUAACAAGGUAGCCGUAGGGGAACCUGCGGCUGGAUCACCUCCUUUCUGGAGAUCUCGAGUAGUCGCCGACCGGAUGUGGCGCACGAAAGAGUCUCGGAAGUCGCCCGCACUCUCUCAUUUCCAGCUCGCUUUACUUGUUUCCGCUCUUUGACAACCGAGGGAUGGAUGGUUGUGUCCGGGCCGCAAGGCUCGGACGGGUGUGAGGAAUCAACACCAGUUGCGCGAUCCUAUCGCAUGGAAAGCGCAACAUUCGAAAUUGAGAUCAAACGCAAUAAGGCACACGGUGGAUGCCUUGGCAUCGAGAGGCGAUGAAGGGCGUGAUAAGCUGCGAUAAGCCUGGGGGAGCUGCACAUGAGCCGUGAUCCCAGGAUGC